This 500-nucleotide ribosomal RNA is filed under the name uncultured Glomeromycotina. Its description in RNAcentral is "partial small subunit ribosomal RNA". It matches the Rfam family "Eukaryotic small subunit ribosomal RNA", at positions 591 to 1092 of the family's 1831-position model. Lineage: Eukaryota; Fungi; Glomeromycota. The record is from RNAcentral.
CCAAUAGCGUAUAUUAAAGUUGUUGCAGUUAAAAAGCUCGUAGUUGAAUUUCGGGGUUAGUAGAUUGGUCAUGCCUCUGGUAUGCACUGGUCUCACUGAUUCCUCCUUCCUGAUGAGCCGUAAUGCCAUUAAUUUGGUGUUGCGGGGAAUUUGGACUGUUACUUUGAAAAAAUUAGAGUGUUUAAAGCAAGCUAACGCUUGAAUACAUUAGCAUGGAAUAAUGAAAUAGGACGUUCGAUCCUAUUUUGUUGGUUUCUAGGAUUGACGUAAUGAUUAAUAGGGGUAGUUGGGGGCAUUAGUAUUCAAUUGUCAGAGGUGAAAUUCUUGGAUUUAUUGAAGACUAACUACUGCGAAAGCAUUUGCCAAGGAUGUUUUCAUUAAUCAAGAACGAAAGUUAGGGGAUCGAAGACGAUCAGAUACCGUCGUAGUCUUAACCAUAAACUAUGCCGACUAGGGAUCGGAUGAUGUUAAUUUUUUAAUGACUCAUUCGGCGCCUUACG